ACAUUAGUAAGGAAAAGUAUAGCAUGACAGUCCGUCAUUCCUUGAGUGAAUGACCAUGCAUUUUAAAACCAGCAUAUUGGCAACCCCAUCAACCGGUUUCGUCUCAUUCUCCUAAAAUUACUGAAUUCGUCGUCUUCCUCGACCCAGAUUAUGGAAAAGCUUUUGUACUGAAAAAGGAGAAGCCAGGUAAGCGGGAAGCCUAUUUAAGCUUCUGCCAGAGCUUGCUCUGCAGAUUAUGGUGCUUGUUAAACGAAUCAUUACCUCACUCAAGUUGAUAAAUUCAGAAGCAAAGAAUGGUUGGAUAUUUUUUCAAUCAUUUGAGAAACCUGUAUUCUUGAUCGGAUGACAAAGUUGCUGUUGAGUGGUGUUUUUAAAUCUUGGGUUUAUUGUGGUUUUAUAUUCAAGUUUGACUUCUCGUCUAUUAUUAAUUGGCCUUAUAUUCAAGAUAAUUCUCUCUAAUCUUUGUCGAUUAGCUUUAAGUUGAAUAUUAAACUCUAUAGUUAAAGAGAUGGAUAACAGGUAUUUUCUUCAUCUCCCUCCAAUAAUCACUGAUUCGUGAGAAAGCUGGUGUAAGUUACCGAUGACAGGAAGGCCAGGAGGAGCAGGGGAAGAAGGUUUUAGCUAUGGUUUCUUGGUUUCAGAAAGAAGAGGAAAAGAGGAUAGGCUAGAAUCAAAAUGCAAAGGGAAUAGCAUUGCAGUCUACACCAUGAAGCUAUCUCUGAAAAUCUUGGGAGAACUCUAAAGUAACAGUUCAGCUUGGUAACGGUACUGGUUUUUUUUUUUUCCUGAUCGUGGCAAAUAAUUGCCAAUUAUUUUGUCGUUGAUAUAUAAUAGAAAAAAUUAUGAAUUAUUGAUGAUACUGCCCCGUUUGUUCUAUUUUUUAUUGGAUUUGAUGUACUAAAGUCAUGUAUGAAUAACAGAAUUAACAGCAUUCUCACAAAUUGAAAAGACAUGUUAUCUCAAGUUACCUAAUUAGUAAUAUAAAAAAUCAGAGCUCAAUAAUUUUCAUCACGCUUGCCAAUAAGUGGGCUUAUGCUUAAUUCUCACCUCUCAGGAAAAUAUUAAACUUAUAAUUAUCAUAUAUACUUCAUAAAGCAGGAACUAUUAUGCUGUCUUAUUUCUAUUUGACUGUGACUGCCUAUUGAUUCUUCGGGAUUCCAUUAUCUGAUUCUUAUUGUUGUUGUUUGUCUGUGAUGAGCAAGCUUGCUGCUGUAUUGCUGUUUUACCGUCUAUGACCAAGACUGCCAUUAGGUCUCUGCGGGUUUGCCAGUAUGUUAUCUGUAUGCUAUUGUGGGUGCAAGAGUUGGUUU
Molecule: long non-coding RNA, 1310 nt
Filed under: Theobroma cacao (cacao)
Lineage: Eukaryota; Viridiplantae; Streptophyta; Magnoliopsida; Malvales; Malvaceae
Description: long non-coding RNA (TCAC_LNC004711)
Source: RNAcentral